AACCAUAACGUUAUGAAGCAUCAAGCAUAUUUUUGUAUGUGAGUAAAACAAAAAUAACGACUUUAUUCAACAAUUCCUUUGUCAACAGUCUCCUCUGUCUCUCAAGGUUACUUGGCUGUCAUUUGGCAGCUCUAAGUUUCAGCUCCCUCCACAGAUUUUCUAUAGGAUUGAGGUCUGGAGACUGGCUAGCCCCCUCCAUGACCUUUAUGUGUUUCUUCUUCAGCCACUCAUUUGUUGCCUUGGUGGUAUGUUUUGGGUCAAUCUCAUGCUGGAAGACCCAUUCAUUACCCAUCUUAAGUGUCUGGCUGAGGCAAGGAGGUUCUCGUCCAAGAUUGUAUAGUACAUGGGCCCAUCCAUUUGCCCCUCAGUGUGAUGAAGUCAUCAUGUACCCUUAGUAGAAAAACAGCCACAAAACAGAAUAUUUCCACCUCUGUGCUCGACUGUAGGGAUGGUGUUCUUGUGGUAAUCGUAAGCAUUUCUCUCCCUCCAAACAAGUCGAUUUUAUGCCAGAGAGCUAAAUUUUGGUCUAAUCUGACCACAGCACUUUCACCCAAGCCUUCUCUGUAUCAUUUAGAUGUUCUUUGGCAAAUUUUAAAUGGGUCUGUACAUGUGCCUUCUUGAGCAAUGGGACCUUGCGGGAUCCGCAGGAUUUCAGUCCAUUGUGGCGUAGUGUGUUACCAAUCGUUUGCUUGAUUACUGUGGUCCCAACUGCCUUAAGAUCAUUAACAAGCUCCUCCUCUGUAGUUCGGGGCUGACCCCUCACCUUUCUAAUGAUCAUCCUUACCCCAUGAGGCAAGAUCUUGCACAGAGGUCCAGACCGAGGCUGGCAGUUGUCUCCUUCUCACCAAGCUUCCUGCUGACGGUCUUUCAGCCCAUUCAAGCCUUGUGCAGAUCUACAAUCUUGUCUCUGAAAGCUCGUUGGUCUUUCCCAUGGUGAUGGGAGAGGUUGGAAAGGAAGACACUGGUCGGGUGUCUAAUACACCUAAGAGCUGACAUUAGGAGUAACUUCUUAAAGUGGCAGGACUAAUCUGUGUUCCACAUGGGAUCCAGGGAGCCAGAAUUCUUGCUGCUCUGAUAUCGGCUGGGUGUUGCACCAGCAACUGUAGAAGUGUCAAGCUUUGGGACAGUUUUGAUGCCUCCUGACCAUGGCCUUGACUGGAUUCAGUGGGCUUUGAUAGAGGAUGCCUGUUGCUUUCAUUUAACUUGCACUGACAGAAAUGGACGACAAGGAUGAAAAAGCCAGAGUGAAGGACAAAAAUGUUUGCGCAGCCAGUGUCUCUCAUCCCAUUCCCUCACCACACUGUUUCCUGCUGGUCUCCCAAUACAACUUACAGCCCUGCAAAUCCAAGGCCUGGAGGAGGGAUUCUUUAGGGUUUAAACAGCUGGAAAUAACAUGAUUGCCAAAAGGAUUUCUCAAAUGGGAGAUUUAAUCAUUUCUCUUUUGCCAACAAAUUGAGCUACCUCCUUUGAACGGAAGCAGACAAAACAAAAAUGUGGGACUGGAAUUUUUUUGUUUUGUUUAUUUAUUAAUUUUUUUUCUUUUACCCAUUUUGUUUAUAGUCGCCCCAAAACACAAUCAAUCCACACUGUAAACAGGGGGGGUUAGUGUGCCAGCAUUUUGCACACAAAGGCAGUUACUUAUUACCAAACCAGUCUUAUGUCUCUAAAACAAGGGCAUUUCUUAAGCCGUUUUAAAGAAAAGAGCAAUACUGAAUGUCAGUGGCUCACAAGUAUCACAUUUUAGCUGAAAUCUGAAUGAUUAUGACAUUAUGUCAUAUCAAUCACUGCCUGGCUUUCAUAAGGACCUGUGUGAGAACGGUUCAUUUACUACAUUGACUAUGGCCAUGUGUAAAGAACGGUAGUUAAACACUUAACUAUCUAUAAUCGAAAGUCGAAAGUUAAAGUCGAAGGUGUGCUAAAACACCUCUCCUGUCUCUUAAUAUCCCAUAACUGAUCUGUUUGUAGAUGCAGUAUUGUGUGAUGUAAAAGAAGCACAUAGAAAGCUGCUGCUGCUGCACCUGAGAAUUGUGUAGCCAGACGCUUUAGGCUUCCUUUGUGUUGAGUCUUCUUGCGUCUGGUGUUUCUGCCCUCACUGCUGCUGAAAUCAAGCGGCCCAAUCACAAAGCUCACAUAUCUUGACCAUUUCAAUGCUUUGUGAAAUUGCCAAAACCAUUUUAUGGUUCAUCAAUAAAAAAAAUUAAAAAAUCCCCUUCUGUCUGUGGAUUCAAAAGGAAGAGGCGGCCCUGUGGCUCUGUUAGUCCAGACUUGCUUGCCCUCACAUUCUCUGUUUUUGGACAGUAAACUCAGAGACUUGUCAUCCCACUGGACUACAUAGACCAUCAAACCAGGUACUGUUGCGUUUCAUUUGAGAGGACUUCAUACUUUAUAUUUGUUCCCUCACUGAACGUAACAUGCAUCUCGCAAACCAUCAAUCCUCCUGUAUACCAUCAGUAUUAAAAACAGCAAAAGUUACUUGAUAAGCUCAUUAACCUGUGAUUUUUUAUUUUUGUUGACAGAUUACGAAACAGAACAAAUAUUAAUAUAUAAAACCUUUAUGUUUUUAAAAAGUAAAGAGUAGUUUAAGGCUUAGUUUUUUAUAUAUGAUAACUAUAAUUAUUAUUUUUGACGUACUGGUAUUAUUGAAUCUAUAAAUAUUACACUAAGAGAUGUAUGUAAAAACAAUAAAGUCUUCUUUAUGUAAAGCAUUUUUAAUUUGAUUCUUAUUUUUGACUGAUUUGUUCAUUUUACAUGUAAGGAAACCAGAAAUCAUAUUCUUAAAUGUAACGUAAAUAGUUCAGCCGUUUCUAAAGCUGUAUGACUUGCUUCUGUUCUUCAGUUUUCAGUGUCACGUGUUCCUUCGGAACUCAUUUUAAUAUGCUGAUUUGGUGCUCAAGAAAAAUGUCUUAUCAAUGUUAAAACCAGUUGUACUGCUUAAUAUUUUUGUGGAAAUCGUAAUACAUUUCAUGCGUUGUUUUAGUCUUUACAUGAUUUAAUGCAUUC
Molecule: long non-coding RNA, 3000 nt
Organism: Carassius auratus (goldfish)
Lineage: Eukaryota; Metazoa; Chordata; Actinopteri; Cypriniformes; Cyprinidae
Exons: 3
Source: RefSeq, a predicted model, not a curated record